GACGAACGCUGGCGGCGUGCUUAACACAUGCAAGUCGAGCGGUAAGGCCUUUCGGGGUACACGAGCGGCGAACGGGUGAGUAACACGUGGGUGAUCUGCCCUGCACUUCGGGAUAAGCCUGGGAAACUGGGUCUAAUACCGGAUAUGACCUCCUAUCGCAUGGUGGGUGGUGGAAAGAUUUAUCGGUGCAGGAUGGGCCCGCGGCCUAUCAGCUUGUUGGUGGGGUAAUGGCCUACCAAGGCGACGACGGGUAGCCGACCUGAGAGGGUGACCGGCCACACUGGGACUGAGACACGGCCCAGACUCCUACGGGAGGCAGCAGUGGGGAAUAUUGCACAAUGGGCGAAAGCCUGAUGCAGCGACGCCGCGUGAGGGAUGACGGCCUUCGGGGUGUAAACCUCUUUCAGCAGGGACGAAGCGCAAGUGACGGUACCUGCAGAAGAAGCACCGGCUAACUACGUG
Molecule: ribosomal RNA, 462 nt
Filed under: uncultured bacterium
Lineage: Bacteria
Description: partial 16S ribosomal RNA
Rfam family: Bacterial small subunit ribosomal RNA
Source: RNAcentral